GACGAACGCUGGCGGCGUGCUUAACACAUGCAAGUCGAACGCUGAAGCUCAGCUUUUGUUUGGUGGAUGAGUGGCGAACGGGUGUGUAACACGUGAUUAACCUGCCUCCUUCUUUGGGAUAACGCCCGUUAACGGGUGCUAAUACUUGAUAUUCACUGGUCUUCGCAUGGGGGUUGGUGGAAAGGGUUUUUCUGGUUGGGGCUGGGCUCGCGGCCUAUCAGCUUGUUGGUGGGGUGAUGGCCUACCAAGGCUUUGACGGGUAGACGGCCUGAGAGAGUGAGCGGUCAGAUGAGAAGGUAGAAACGGCCCAGAGUACUAAGGAAGGCAGCAGUAGGAAAUAUAGAACAAUGGGGGAAAGCAUAAGGAGGCGACGGGGCGUGAGGGAUGGAAGCCUUAGGGUUGAGAACCUCUUUCGCUAAUGGUAAAGCCGCAACAAUGGUUGUGGGGAGGGUAGUGGGAAAAGAAGCGCCGGCUAACUAAGG
RNAcentral lists this ribosomal RNA (482 nucleotides) under uncultured bacterium. RNAcentral describes it as "partial 16S ribosomal RNA". It matches the Rfam family "Bacterial small subunit ribosomal RNA", at positions 28 to 506 of the family's 1533-position model. The record is from RNAcentral.